Molecule: ribosomal RNA, 393 nt
Filed under: uncultured bacterium
Lineage: Bacteria
Description: partial 16S ribosomal RNA
Rfam family: Bacterial small subunit ribosomal RNA
Source: RNAcentral
CCUACGGGAGGCAGCAGUGAGGAAUAUUGGUCAAUGGGCGGGAGCCUGAACCAGCCAAGCCGCGUGAGGGAUGAAGGUACAGAGUAUCGUAAACCUCUUUUGUCAGGGAAAAAAGGCUGGGACGUGUCCCCGGAUGAGUGUACCUGAAGAAACAGCAUCGGCUCACUCCGUCCCAGCAGCCGCGGUAAUAGGCGGGAUGCGCUCGUUAUCCGGAUUUCUUGGGUUUAAAGGUGGCUAAGGGGGUCUGUUAGGUCAGCGUUCAAAGUUCGGGGCUAAACCCCGGACCGCCGUUGAUACUGGCAGUCUAGAGUGGAAGAGAGGUAGGCGGAAUUCGCGGUGUAGCGGUGAAAUGUUUAGAUAUCGCGCAGAACUCCGAUUGCGAAGGCAGCAUGC